UACGUAGGUAGCGAGCGUUGUUCGGAGUUACUGGGCGUAAAGAGUGCGUAGGCGGUUUUCUAAGUUUGGUGUGAAAUCUCCCGGCUUAACUGGGAGGGUGCGCCGAAAACUGGAAGGCUUGAGUAUGGGAGAGGUAAGCGGAAUUCCUGGUGUAGCGGUGAAAUGCGCAGAUAUCAGGAGGAACACCGGUGGCGAAGGCGGGUCUCUGGGCCGAUACUGACGCUGAGGAGCGAAAGCGUGGGGAGCGAACAGG
RNAcentral lists this ribosomal RNA (253 nucleotides) under uncultured bacterium. RNAcentral describes it as "partial 16S ribosomal RNA". It matches the Rfam family "Bacterial small subunit ribosomal RNA", at positions 524 to 776 of the family's 1533-position model. The record is from RNAcentral.